Molecule: ribosomal RNA, 404 nt
Filed under: Ancylomenes luteomaculatus
Lineage: Eukaryota; Metazoa; Arthropoda; Malacostraca; Decapoda; Palaemonidae
Description: partial 12S ribosomal RNA
Source: RNAcentral
UAAACUAGGAUUAGAUACCCUAUUAUACUGUAUGUAGAAGUUGUUAUGCUGGAGUAGUAAUCAGUUAUGGUCUUUAAACUUAAAGGAUUUGGCGGUACUCAAGUCUAGUCAGAGGAACCUGUGCUGUAAACGAUAGUCCACGAAUUAUCUUACUUUAUCUUGUUUUCAGUUUAUAUACCGCCAUUAUAAAAUAAUGUUAAGAAUUAUUUAUUAUAAUAAAUGAGUUUUACUAUAUUAGGUCAAGGUGUAGCCAAUGGUAGAGUAGUUAUGGGUUACAGUGUAUUAUAUAUGGGCGGAUUAAGUUUUGAAUAGAUCUUUUCAAGUUGGAUUUGAUUGUAAGUUUAUUUUAAUAAGAUAGGCUGAUAUAAGCUCUAGGGUAUGUACACAUCGCCCGCUCUUAAAGA